Molecule: ribosomal RNA, 1069 nt
Filed under: fungal endophyte
Lineage: Eukaryota; Fungi
Description: eukaryotic LSU rRNA
Rfam family: Eukaryotic large subunit ribosomal RNA (bases 480-1069)
Source: RNAcentral
AACUCCCAAACCCAUGUGAACAUACCUAACGUUGCCUCGGCAGGUCUCGUCUACCUUGUAGCACCCUACCCUGUAAGGUCUACCUGGGAGAUGCGGAUAAGCCUGCCGGCGGCCCACUAAACUCUGUUUGAUAUUGAAUUCUGAAUAUAUAACUAAAUAAGUUAAAACUUUCAACAACGGAUCUCUUGGUUCUGGCAUCGAUGAAGAACGCAGCGAAAUGCGAUAAGUAAUGUGAAUUGCAGGAUUCAGUGAAUCAUCGAAUUUUUGAACGCAUAUUGCGCCCAUUAGUAUUCUAGUGGGAAGGACCGUUCGAGCGUCAUUUCGACCCUUAAGCCUUGGUUGCUUAGUGUUGGGAGCCUACGGUAACGUAGCUCCUCAAAGUUAGUGGCGGAGUUGGUUCACACUCUAGACGUAGUAAUUUCUUAUCUCGCCUAUCAGUUGGACUAAUCCCCUGCCGUAAAACCCCAACUUCUAAAGGUUGACCUCGAAUCGGUUCAGGUAAACUCGCUAAAUUGAAGCAUCUUAGUCAGCGAAGGAAAAGAAACCAACAGGGAUUGCCCUAGUAACGGCGAGUGAAGCGGCAACAGCUCAAAUUUGAAAUCUGGCCCUCGGGUCCGAGUUGUAAUUUGUAGAGGAUGCUUUUGGCGCGGUGCCUUCCGAGUUCCCUGGGACGGGACGCCUUAGAGGGUGAGAGCCCCGUACGGUUGGACACCAAGCCUCUGUAAAGCACCUUCGACGAGUCGAGUAGCUUGGGAAUGCUGCUCUAAAUGGGAGGUAAAUUUCUUCUAAAGCUAAAUAUUGGCCAGAGACCGAUAGCGCACAAGUAGAGUGAUCGAAAGAUGAAAAGCACUUUGAAAAGAGGGUUAAAUAGCACGUGAAAUUGUUGAAAGGGAAGCGUUUGCGACCAGACCUUUUCCUAGCGGAUCAUCCGGUGUUCUCACCGGUGCACUUCGCUAGGCUUAGGCCAGCAUCGGUUUCUGUAGGGGGAUAAAAGCUCGGGGAACGUAGCUCCUCCGGGAGUGUUAUAGCCCUUUGCAUAAUACCUUUACGGGGACCGAGGACCGCGCUC